RNAcentral lists this ribosomal RNA (497 nucleotides) under uncultured bacterium. Its description in RNAcentral is "partial 16S ribosomal RNA". It matches the Rfam family "Bacterial small subunit ribosomal RNA", at positions 28 to 507 of the family's 1533-position model. The record is from RNAcentral.
GACGAACGCUGGCGGCGUGCCUAAUACAUGCAAGUUGAGCGCUGAAGGUUGGUACUUGUACCAACUGGAUGAGCAGCGAACGGGUGAGUAACGCGUGGGGAAUCUGCCUUUGAGCGGGGGACAACAUUUGGAAACGAAUGCUAAUACCGCAUAAAAACUUUAAACACAAGUUUUAAGUUUGAAAGAUGCAAUUGCAUCACUCAAAGAUCAUCCCGCGUUGUAUUAGCUAGUUGGUGAGGUAAAGGCUCACCAAGGCGAUGAUACAUAGCCGACCUGAGAGGGUGAUCGGCCACAUUGGGACUGAGACACGGCCCAAACUCCUACGGGAGGCAGCAGUAGGGAAUCUUCGGCAAUGGACGAAAGUCUGACCGAGCAACGCCGCGUGAGUGAAGAAGGUUUUCGGAUCGUAAAACUCUGUUGGUAGAGAAGAACGUUGGUGAGAGUGGAAAGCUCAUCAAGUGACGGUAACUACCCAGAAAGGGACGGCUAACUACGUG